UACGUAGGGCGCGAGCGUUGUCCGGAAUUAUUGGGCGUAAAGAGCUCGUAGGCGGCUUGUUGCGUCUGCCGUGAAAGCCCGUGGCUUAACUACGGGUCUGCGGUGGAUACGGGCAGGCUAGAGGCUGGUAGGGGCAAGCGGAAUUCCUGGUGUAGCGGUGAAAUGCGCAGAUAUCAGGAGGAACACCGGUGGCGAAGGCGGCUUGCUGGGCCAGUUCUGACGCUGAGGAGCGAAAGCGUGGGGAGCGAACAGG
Molecule: ribosomal RNA, 253 nt
Filed under: uncultured bacterium
Lineage: Bacteria
Description: partial 16S ribosomal RNA
Rfam family: Bacterial small subunit ribosomal RNA
Source: RNAcentral